UCCAUAGGUUAAUGAGGCGAACCGGGGGAACUGAAACAUCUAAGUACCCCGAGGAAAAGAAAUCAACCGAGAUUCCCCCAGUAGCGGCGAGCGAACGGGGAGGAGCCCAGAGCCUGAAUCAGCAUGUGUGUUAGUGGAAGCGUCUGGAAAGGCGCGCGAUACAGGGUGACAGCCCCGUACACAAAAGCGCAUGUGCUGUGAGCUCGAUGAGUAGGGCGGGACACGUGGUAUCCUGUCUGAAUAUGGGGGGACCAUCCUCCAAGGCUAAAUACUCCUGACUGACCGAUAGUGAACCAGUACCGUGAGGGAAAGGCGAAAAGAACCCCGGCGAGGGGAGUGAAAAAGAACCUGAAACCGUGUACGUACAAGCAGUGGGAGCACCCUUCGGGGUGUGACUGCGUACCUUUUGUAUAAUGGGUCAGCGACUUAUAUUCUGUAGCAAGGUUAACCGUAUAGGGGAGCCGGAGGGAAACCGAGUCUUAAUUGGGCGUUAAGUUGCAGGGUAUAGACCCGAAACCCGGUGAUCUAGCCAUGGGCAGGUUGAAGGUUGGGUAACACUAACUGGAGGACCGAACCGACUAAUGUUGAAAAAUUAGCGGAUGACCUGUGGCUGGGGGUGAAAGGCCAAUCAAACCGGGAGAUAGCUGGUUCUCCCCGAAAGCUAUUUAGGUAGCGCCUCGUGAAUUCAUCUCCGGGGGUAGAGCACUGUUUCGGCUAGGGGGCCAUCCCGGCUUACCAACCCGAUGCAAACUGCGAAUACCGGAGAAUGUUAUCACGGGAGACACACGGCGGGUGCUAACGUCCGUCGUGAAGAGGGAAACAACCCAGACCGCCAGCUAAGGUCCCAAAGUCAUGGUUAAGUGGGAAACGAUGUGGGAAGGCCCAGACAGCCAGGAUGUUGGCUUAGAAGCAGCCAUCAUUUAAAGAAAGCGUAAUAGCUCACUGGUCGAGUCGGCCUGCGCGGAAGAUGUAACGGGGCUAAACCAUGCACCGAAGCUGCGGCAGCGAACGUAUCACCCAAGACAACUUUACGGAGUUGACGAUUGACGGAGCGAAGCGACGUCAAAGCGUUCAUUAAAGUCGAGUUGGCUUAGGGAUACGUUCGUUGGGUAGGGGAGCGUUCUGUAAGCCUGUGAAGGUGUGUCGUGAGGCAUGCUGGAGGUAUCAGAAGUGCGAAUGCUGACAUAAGUAACGAUAAAGCGGGUGAAAAGCCCGCUCGCCGGAAGACCAAGGGUUCCUGUCCAACGUUAAUCGGGGCAGGGUGAGUCGACCCCUAAGGCGAGGCCGAAAGGCGUAGUCGAUGGGAAACGGGUUAAUAUUCCCGUACUUGGUGUUACUGCGAAGGGGGGACGGAGAAGGCUAUGUUGGCCGGGCGACGGUUGUCCCGGUUUAAGCGUGUAGGUGUGUGUUCCAGGUAAAUCCGGUUCACUUUAACACUGAGGCGUGACGACGAGGCACUACGGUGCUGAAGCAACAAAUGCCCUGCUUCCAGGAAAAGCCUCUAAGCAUCAGGUAACAUCAAAUCGUACCCCAAACCGACACAGGUGGUCAGGUAGAGAAUACCAAGGCGCUUGAGAGAACUCGGGUGAAGGAACUAGGCAAAAUGGUGCCGUAA
RNAcentral lists this ribosomal RNA (1615 nucleotides) under Salmonella enterica subsp. enterica serovar Typhimurium. RNAcentral's name for it is "partial 23S ribosomal RNA". It matches the Rfam family "Bacterial large subunit ribosomal RNA", at positions 163 to 1733 of the family's 2925-position model. The record is from RNAcentral. Lineage: Bacteria; Pseudomonadati; Pseudomonadota; Gammaproteobacteria; Enterobacterales; Enterobacteriaceae.